This 4024-nucleotide long non-coding RNA is filed under the name Nicotiana tabacum (common tobacco). Its description in RNAcentral is "long non-coding RNA (NTAB_LNC000707)". Lineage: Eukaryota; Viridiplantae; Streptophyta; Magnoliopsida; Solanales; Solanaceae. The record is from RNAcentral.
UGUCAGUUGUAGAUUUCAAUGAGAAGACUGACAGUGAAAUUCCAUGCAAUACCAACAAUGAUGUUGCCGACUAUGUAUCAGUUGAGGCAAACCUUGAAGAACCGGUAGUUGAAGAAAAACCUGAAGAAACAACGGUUGAGAAGAAACCUGAAGAACCAUCAAUUGAGGAGAAACGUGAAACACCAGCAUUUGAGAAGAAACCUGAAGAACCAAUAAUUGAGGAGAAACCUGAAGAACAAACAAUUGAAGAGGAGAAACAUGAAAGGAUAACUCUCCUGGAAAAGGUGAGGAUCAAGCAUUGUCACAAAGUUUAUCCAUCUUGUUAGUCGUGUAUACGAUACAAUUUACAUAUGCUUACCUACUGAAAGACUAAGUAAGACUUUAAAGUUCUUCUUGCAGAGUAUUCCAGUUGUAGUCCCGAACGACAAAACUGAAAGUAAAACUCCAAGCAUUACAAACAAUAAUGCUGCUCACUUUUCAGAAGUUGAGGAAAACCCUGAAGAACCUGCAGUAAAAGAAAAAACUGAAAAACCAGUUCUUGAAGAGAAACCUGAAGAACCAACAGUUGAAGAGAAAUCUGAAGAACCAGUUGAGGAGAAACCUGAAGAACCAACAGCUGAAGAGAAACCUGAAGAACCAGCAACUAAAGAAAAACAAGUGCUAGUAGGGGAGGAAACAGCUGAAGAACUAGCGCUUGAAGAGAAACCUGAAGAACUAACGAUUGAACAGACAGAUGAAGAACUAGUUGUUGAAGAUAAAACUGAAAAACCACCAAAUAAAGAGGAGAGACCUGAAACGGUAACUCUCCUUUAGCAGUGUCACAGAGUUUAUCCAUCCUAUUAGUUCUAUAUGUGCAACGAAUUCAUAUCUGUUUAUCUAUUGAAAUACUAAGUGAAAAUUCAAAUUUUCUUGCAGAAUUUGCCCAUUGCAGACUCAAAGGACCAGACUGACAAUGCAAUUCCAUGCGAUACCAACAAUGAUAUUGCUGACUAUGCAACAGUUGAGGAAAAACCUGAAGAAACAGUAGUUGAAGAAAAACAUGAAGAACCUGCAAUUGAAAAGAAAUUUGAAGAAUCAACAGUUAUGGAGAAACCUGAAGAACCAGCAGUGGAAGAAAAACCUGAAGAACCAACAGUUAAAGAGGAACCUGAAAAAUCAGUGAUGGAAGAGAAACCUGAAGAACCAAUUGUUGAGGAGAAACUUGAAGAACCAACUGUUGAAGAGAAACCUGAAAAAUCACUGAUUGAAGAAACACCUGAAGAACCAAUAUGGGAAGAAACACCUAAAGAACUAGCAUUUGAAGAGAAACCAGAAGAACCAGCAGUUGAAGAGGAGAAACCUGAAAAGGUAACUCUUUUGGAAGAGGUGAGUAUCAAGCAUUAGCACAUAGUUUAUCCAUCAUGUUAUUUCUGUAUGUGCAUCGAUUCACAUCUGCUUAUCUAUUGAAAGUCUAAAUGAGACUUUAAAUUCUUCUUGCAGAAUAUACCAGCUGUAGAUUUCAACGACAAGACUGACCGUGAAAUUCCAUGCGAUACCAACAAUGAUAUUGCUGACUAUGCAACAGUUGAGGAAAAACCUGAAGAACCGGUAGUUGAAGAAAAACAUGAAGAACCUGCAAUUGAAAAGAAAUUUGAAGAAUCAACGGUUAUGGAGAAACCUGAAAAACCAGUGGUUAAGGUACAACCUGAAGAACCAGCAGUGGAAGAAAAAGUUGAAGAACCAACAGUUAAUGAGGAACCUGAAAAAUCAGCGAUGGAAGAGAACCCUGAAGAAUCAAUUGUUGAGGAGAAACUUGAAGAACCAACUGUUGAAGAGAAACCUGAAAAAUCACUGAUUGAAGAAACACCUGAAGAACCAAUAUGGAAAGAAACACCUAAAGAACUAGCAUUUGAAGAGCAACCAGAAGAACCAGCAGUUGAAGAGGAGAAACCUGAAAAGGUAUCUCUUUUGGAAGAGGUGAGUAUCAAGCAUUAUCACAUAGUUUAUCCAUCCUGUUAUUUCUGUAUGUGCGACGAUUCACAUCUGCUUAUCUAUUGAAAGACUAAAUGAGACUUUAAAUUCUUCUUGCAGAAUAUGCCAGCUGUAGAUUUCAACGACAAGACUGACUGUGAAAUUCCAUGCAAUACCAACAAUGAUGUUGCUGAAUAUGUAGCAAUUGAGGAAAACCUUGAAGAACCAGCAGUUGAAGAAAAACAUGAAGAACCAACAGUUGAGGAGAAACCUGAAGAACUAGCAGUUGAAGAGAAACCCGAAAAACCAACAAUUGAGGAGAAACAUGAAGAACCAAUAGUUGAGAAGAAACCUGAAGAACCAGUAGUUGAGGAGAAACCAGAAGAACCACUAAUUGAAGAGGAGAAAUCUGAAAGGGUAACUUUCCUAGAAAAGGUGAGGAUCAAGCAUUGUCAAAAGGUUUAUCCAUCUUAUUAGUUGUGUAUGUGCGACGAUUCACAUCUGCUUACUUAUUGAAAGACUAAGUGAAACUUCAAAAUUCUUGCAGAGUAUGCUAGUUGUAGACUCGAACGACAAGACUGACAGUGAAAUUCCAUGCAAUACCAACAAAGAUGCUGCCCACUUUCCCGAAGUUGAGGCAAACCCUGAAGAACCAGCAGUUGAAGGAAAACCUAAAGAACCCGUUGAUGAAGAGAAACCAGAUGUACCAGUGGUUGAGAAACCUGAAAAACAAAUGGUUGAGGAGAAACUUGAAGAACCAAUGAUUGAGGAGAAAUCUGACGAACUAGUCGAGGAGAAAUCUCAACAACCAGCGGCUGAAAAGAAACCUGAAGAACCAGCAGCUAAAGAAUCACUUAAAGAGCUAGCAGGGGAGGAAACAACUGAAGAACUAGCACUUGAAGAGAAACUUAGAGAACCAACAGUUGAAGAACUAGUUCUUGAAGAUAAACCUGAAAACCCAGAAAAUGAAGAGGAUAAACUUGAAACAGUAACUCUCCAGGAAAAGGUAAGAAACAAGCAGUGUCACAGAGUUUAUCCAUCCUAUUAGCUCUACAUAUGCAAUGAAUUCACAUCUGUUUAUCCACUGAAAGACUAAGUGAAACUUUAAAUUUUUCUUGCAGAAUUUACCAAUUGCAGACUCAAACGACAAGACUGACAAUGCAACUCCCUGCAAUAACAACAAUGAUAUUGCUGACUCUGCAGCAGUUAAGGAAAAAACUGAAGAACCAGUAGUUGAGGAAAAACAUGAAGAACCGGCAACUGAAGAGAAAUCUGAAGAAUCAGAAUUUAUGAAAAAAACUGAAGAACCAGCGGUUGAGGUAAAACCUGAAGAACCAUCAGUGGAAGAGAAGCCUGAAGAACCAGCGGUUAGGAAAAAUCCUGAAGAACCAGCAGUUAAUGAGGAACCUGCAAAAUCAGCAACGGAAGAGAAACCUGAAGAACCAAUUGCUGAGGAGAAACUUGAAGAACCAACUCUUAAAGAGAAACCUGGAAAACCAGUAAUUGAAGAAACACCUGAAGAACCAACACUGGAAGUAACACCUAAAGAACAAGCAGAGAAACCUGAAGAACCAGUUGAAGAGGAAAAAACUGACAAGGUAACUCUUUUGGAAAAGGUGAGCAUCAAACACUGUCACAAAUUUUUGCCAUCAUAUUAGUUCUGUAUGUGCAACAAUUCACAUCUAAUUAUCCAUUGAAAGACUAAGUGAAACUUUAAUUCUUCUUGCAGAAUAUACCAGUUGUAGAUUUCAAUGAUACGACUGACAGUGAAAUUCCAUGCAAUACCAACGACGAUGUUGCUGAAGACGUAGCAGUUGAGGAAAACCUUGAAGAACCAUCAGUUGAGGAGAAACCUGAAGAAUUAGCGGUUGAAGAGAAACCUGAAAAACCAGCAAUUGAGGAGAAACGUGAAGAACCAAUAAUUGAGAAGAAACCUAAAGAACCAGCAGUUGAGGAGAAACCUGAAGAACAAACCGUUGAAGAGAGACUUGAAGAACCAACAAUUGAAGAUGAGAAACUUGAAGAACCAACAAAUGAAGAUGAGAAACUUGAAAGGGUAACUCUCCUAGGAAAG